AGCGUAGGCGGUUUUGCAAGUCAGAAGUGAAAGGCUACGGCUCAACCGUGGUAAGCUUUUGAAACUGCAAGACUAGAGUGCAGGAGAGGCAAGUGGAAUUCCUAGUGUAGAGGUGAAAUUCGUAGAUAUUAGGAGGAACACCAGUGGCGAAGGCGACUUGCUGGACUGUAACUGACGCUGAGGCUCGAAAGCGUGGGGAGCGAACA
RNAcentral lists this ribosomal RNA (206 nucleotides) under uncultured bacterium. RNAcentral's name for it is "partial 16S ribosomal RNA". It matches the Rfam family "Bacterial small subunit ribosomal RNA", at positions 568 to 774 of the family's 1533-position model. The record is from RNAcentral.